This 14559-nucleotide long non-coding RNA is filed under the name Heterocephalus glaber (naked mole-rat). RNAcentral's name for it is "lncRNA (ENSHGLG00100042437.1)". The record is from RNAcentral. Lineage: Eukaryota; Metazoa; Chordata; Mammalia; Rodentia; Bathyergidae.
UGAUAGCAUACAUACUGGCAUGACUUUUUGAGCAGCCAUUCAUAACCUAUUUGUCACAAAGCAUAAUUUCAUGAUAGAACUCUGAUUCACAUGCGGUUUUAUUUUUCCAGCAAUAAAACAUUUGAAUAACUCCUUCACGAAGGCUGGCUACAUUUUCACAAUAUCCAAUCCCAAACUAGAGCUUCAGGAAAAGGGAUCCAGGAAAUGAUUAUUCCACCAAGUAAAAUGUAAGUAUAUCCUGACAAAAUGCUCACUUUUAUUGGCAGAUAAAGAGAAAUUUUCUUUAUAGGGAUGAUUGUAAUUCAGAGGCUUGCCUUAUAGAUUCUAUUUCUUACCACUUCAUUUCUUUUCCUUCAUUGUUUCUUUUCCAUUCAUCUCCUCGGGCACGUUUUUUUCUACUUGUUAGCUGUAUCCCCUGGGCGAGCAGUUUUUUCACUCUGUAAUCAAAUACUAUAAUGUGGAGAAAAUCUAAAAAUGACUCCACAGUGUUAUUGUACAAAGUAAAGAUAGUGAAUGUGUGGGUACACAUGGAUCCCAAACUCAGCUGUAUAAGAAAUACAACUUUCCUUAUUUUUCUACAACUUUGCUUCAUUUCUACGUGAAGUUCUAAUUUGGCUUAGUUAUGAAGGUGUAAUCUCAGUCCAAUCAGGGUGUCCUCAUCUAAACCUCAGAGAAGACACAGCAUCUAUCUAUUUUCCCACCUUCAACCCUGUCUGAGCGUUCCACAGUUGUCCCACCCAGAGGUGCUGGACGAACGAACAAGUAGUGAAUACUCCCCAGUUCCCUUCCCAGUGUCCCCACCACCAUGUCAGUUUUCUUGGCUUCUCUGAUUCCCUUCUUAAAUUUGAAGAAUCUUGUCUAGUCUGGAGCAAAGUGUUUCAAGCUUUUUAUCUGAUCUUUGAAAUCUUUGAUUUAUGACCAGAACCUGAGAUUUGGUCCUCAAAAGCUAAGAAAUUUGUUUCCUCUCUUAUCUUCAUUUUGAUGGUUUUCCCUUCCCUAAAGCUUUACAGAAGACCUAGCUGCUUAAUGGGGAAAAUACAGGAAAUACCAGAGACAACAUAUGGGAAUAUAUCUCACAAGAAUUUCUCAACACAGAUGUAAAGCACCAAGAAGGCUUGGCACAUGUCAAGAAGCCUUCAAAGGUGACUGCUAUCCUUAUACAAAAUUUUAUGGUCAAGCUCCAUGCUUCUUGUCUCCAUGUCCUGCAAGUUGUUCAACUUUUUCAUAAUUCAGUUUCCCCUUCUGUAAAAUGGGAAUUAUAAUCAUAUGUAUCUCACAAGGUCAUAUGUUUAUAAAGUACUCACUGGAAUUACACAGUUAUCAUCACCACCAGUACACACUUGUAGCUGUCAAAGCCAUUGGUCUAAAGCCAUUGUAUUGAUAUGGUUGUCAUAGUGCAUCAUAAAUAAAGAAGAAGGUGAACAUAUCACAUCUAGCAUUUCACAGCUAAAGAAGGAAGUGCUGGUCCCAAGUAUGAGGCUAGGCUCAAUUUCCUAUAAAUGGAAACUUCUGAUAAUAUCUAAUAGAAUAAUCCUGAAGGUGAGUUAAAAAGGAAUUAGCUAAUAUAAGUCAAGCUAGCUCUGAGGUGCUGGCAUGAACAGAUUCUUAGAGAGAUAUAGUCUGAAUUUGAAGACAGGUUCACCCUUCCAGUCCAGCGGGAAGGAUGAGAAACAAAGUUAAGAAGGUCUGGCCAAGUUAGAGAGUUAGGGUGAGGAAGUACCUGGGUGACCAUUGCUAAAAGUUGCUGAAGAGAACACGCACAGGACCUCUCCUGAGACAUGAGGCCACUUUGGACUUUUGCUAAGCAAAGUACUUCUUUGGAGAGCAAGGACAGUAAGGGGGCACUGAGGGAGAGAUGGUGGUAGAUUGUUCCCCAGUCUACAUGAAUGUCAUUCUCCAGCCUAUCAAACUGUUGAACAAGAAAAUGAGAAUGUGAAGACCUUCACCCUUAUAUCUGCCCCUCUUUCUACCCAGAGCCAGCCUGCUCAAUGUCCUCUCAACCCACAAUCAGUCAGAAUGAAUGAACCCAAAUGAGACAGUGGAAAGAGCCACAUCAGAAGCCAGGAGGCCAGUACUCCAGACCCAGUCAGUGACUAACUAGUUCAUGGCCCUAGACAAAUCUCUUCAGCUUUCUGGACCUUAGCACCCUCAGUGAGGAAGAAGGACUGGAUAAGAGCAGCUUGGUACAGUUUCACAGGUGGUCGAGUGAGGAGCAUGGAAGCCAGAGGAACAGCAAGAUGAGUUCUGUUUUUGCCCUUUUUCAUAAGUGUGAGUUUAUUUCAUCUCUCUAAGUUCCAGUUCCCUUGUGCAUAAAGAUGGAGAUAACUAUAGUGCUUUCUUUGCAUGAUUAUUUUGAAGCAAAUUCAAGAGUGUAUAGGACAUGUUUAGCACUACUGUGAAACACUAUAAAUACUCAACUGUUGCCAAUAUCACUAUAGCAAUUAUUGAGGGAGGGAUUAUCAGGUCAGGGGCUACUAGGUGGGUUGAGUGGGAGACUCAAGACUGCAGAUACUUCCUCAUCAAGAAGAGCAGCUUUGUUUCUCUCAUUUGAGAGAAUAGAUGAUAGAUAGAUAGAUAGAUAGAUAGAUAGAUAGAUAAGAUAGAUAGAUUGUGUGCCUAGCGUGCAUGAGCCUCUGACCUCUCUGGGCCCAGAACCACAAACUUGAUUAGUCAAUCACUGGGCCAGGCCAACAGCUGGCAAGCUUUUUCUGUAAAGAAUCAUAUAGCAAAUAUUUUGCAUUUUGUGGACCACAUGUGGUCUCCAUUGCAUAUUUUUCUGAUUUAAUUUAGAGUAAGAGUGGGGAUUCAGUUUAGAUAAAGAUCUUUUAGGCUAGGAUAAUAAGAAGAAGAAUAGAGUACGUAUCAAGAUGUAAUACUCUCAUCUGUUUAUACUGAAGAUCUCAAUAAUAGAACACAGUGAAGAUUUAUUUCUGGUAAAACAGUUGGAAGUUGAGGGUCCAGUCUACAUAGCCUUCUGGGGAUCUACAAUCCUUUCAUCUAGUGAGUCCUUCAUCUCCUAGUGCUCUGCAGACACCCUCAGGAUGGAAGGAAAAUAGAACUGGGUCAAAUUCAAGAACCCCACAAAAAUACAGAAACUAUGGUCUGGGAGGAUGAGGCAAGUUUGAGCACAUCCUGUGUAACUUAAUGACGUAGUGGCCCCCUGUCUUAAAACUUACAAAAGAAAAAUCAAGGCAACUAGUGUAGUUCAGUGCAAAGGCCUGAGAUUCAAUUCCCCAAUACUGAGAAAAGAAAAGAAAGGAAAAGGAAAGAAAAGGAAAGGAAAAGGAAAAGAAAUGUAGAAACUAUUCUUAGCUUAGGGGCUGUCCAGUGACAGAUGUGGGCUGAUUCUGGCUGCCUGCCUGCAGCUUGCCCACUCCUGGAUAAAGCCAUCUCUUAUAUUCCUUGUGAAGAUGAACAAACUUCUCCAUGAUAAAUCUUUUUCUUUCUCCAUCAAAGUAGCCUAGUUUCCCUCAUAACAUCUAUUAUCUUGUAUGUAAUAAUAUUUCUCAUAUUUAUAACAGUUGUCAGAUUAAGUGUUUUUGUUAAAUUUUAUGUGUAAUAUUACACAGAGUCCUUUUGUGGACAGUUUUCAUGAAGGUGGUAGGUUUCCUGGGGCUGCUGGGCUGCAGUACCACCCACUGGGUGCCUGCAAACAACCGAAAUUUAUUCUCUCACAGUCUGGAGGCCACAAGUCUGAGAUCAGUGUCAACAGCAUUGAUUCCUUCAGAGAGAGAGAAGCUGAUCUGUGCCUUCCUCCAGUCUCUGGUGAGGGCCAGCAGUCCUCAGGGUUCCUCGGCUGGUAGAAAGAGCACUCCAUGCUCUGGGUCCACCUUUACACAGUGUCCUUCCUCUGCUCAUUUCUUUACAAGACCAGCUCUUUCUUGAAUUAGGACCCGCUCUAAUGACCACAUCUUAACUUAAUCUCCAAAAGCCCUAUUUCCAUACAAUGUCACAUUCACAGGUACUGGAGGUUAGGACUUCAACCUAUCUUUUGGGAGGACACAACUCUGCCUAUGACAAACAGUGGACAGCAUAUGGGUGCCCACUUCAUAUCUUAAUUACAAGUGAUGAGAACUGUUGGGCCACCCCAUGUUGCAGCUGAGAUGAGUAAGAGGGAUGAGGUACCUGAGUGCUUACUUUUUACCAUUCAGUGUAAAUUACUGAGAGAAUAAAGCCAUUAGUGCUGCUAACCUGAAGAAUGCAGAAUUUUCUUUUUAAAGUAUUUUUUUAUGGACAUGGAACACUGAGCUAGAAAACAUUGCACAUUCUGUACCCUUCUUCUAUUUUCAAUUUAUAAAUACUGUAUUCAAAAUACCGGAAUAGUGUGGCUUGUGGUUACUAACAAAAUUAAAAAUAAAAGCAAAAAGCCCCAUAACAUCCAUAGUGCCCUGUGAGGGAGAUGCAGCCUGCUGCCCUGGAUGAGAAAUGGAGGAUCUGAUGAAUUUUCACCCCUAUCUGCAGGGGUCAGGAUUUGAAAACCACUACCAGCUGGUUGUAAUUCUGUCCUAUUUUGAAACAGAUGACUUAGACUGCUAAGCCAUCACUGGGACUCCAAUUUAUUUUUCCCUACUUGGUCUAGGUUUCAGAAACCCAGUUUGCAAAGUAAAGAAAAGGAGAAAAUUAUACUUUUGGUGAUCUCACCCCAGGUCUGUCUGUAGAAAACCUACCAGUAUUGCAGAAUUUGUGCAAGUGAAUCGAACCGUGCUAUAUCUUCUCCAGUAUCCGAAAGCAGGUCUUCUAUAUCUCUUUCCCAAUGUUCUUCAGUACUUUUUGUUGCUUCGGUGACACUUGUUAUAGUUUGCCAUGUGUUUGAGUCUUAUCUCUGCUCCUGAAAUGCAAGCUCUUUGAAUCUUAGUCUUAAGACUCAAGGCAGAGAGGAAGAAGCAAAUGGAGAGAAGAAGACAAGGGGGAGAGAGAAACUUGAGAUGCAGAAAAUGAGAUAAGAAACACAGGCGUGAAUUCGUUAGGGCAAAGUGGGCAAACUGAAAUGGUCUCUGCUCUCCGUAUCUUCUUCACUUUCCUGGAAGCCCACUAAGCCUGUUAGGGGUUCUACUGGAAUUCAACAUCAGACCUUAAUGAAUAUAGUUAUGGACAACUCUUUUCAAAGCUGAGGCCACAACCAAACCACUUAAUGCCUCAAGCUUCUCAUCUAUAUGAUAUAAUUAAUGAUUGAAUUCACUGUAUACAAUUGUAGAAAUCAAAUAUGAUUAAUGGAUGUGAAGUACUUAUCAUAUAGCCAGCCUGGCUCAGUAUUCCCAAAUGUCCCAAAUUAAUCCUUAGGAAUUGCGACAAACUUGGGUUUGUAGUCUUAAGAAUCUGUAUAUUUACUAAGCAUAAUUAAGAAAGUCUCAUUUUCAAAGAAAUUUGGGAAACAAUCCUAUAAUGAUAUUGAUAGCUCAAUAAAAAGUAACUAUGUUGUUGUAGUAUGUUUAUCAUCAACAUUAUCAUUGUUAUUGGCAAUUCUGCUUAAAGAUGAUGGCAUGGGAAUGAUUCAGCAAUAUUGGCAGAUUACAUAGUGUCUUGAAUCUGGUAAAUUUGACUCUGGUCUUAUAGGAAGUCGGUUUUACUGUUUGUAGAACCAGUAGACUCCUAACCAACUCAAAUGCAGUUUGAGUUUGAGCUUGAAGCUCAAUGCAAUUAUUUCAAUUUUAAUCUACUUAGAUGAAGAGAAACCUCCAUUUUGAAUAAGAACUUGGACUUUACUUAAUAAAUUGGUGGGUAUAAAUCUAAUUUGCUUCAUUCCCAUUUUUGUUCAUCUUGGGAUGAAUAAAAAUUUAUGAAGUGCUAAUUUCUACAUUUUGUUUGAAGUAUCUCCCAAGAAAGUAAAGAAUCACAAGGUUCCUUUACUUAAAGAGAAGGUAAAAAUAUCAUUAUCCAAUAUUUUCACAUAGAAGCUUGGGCCCUUUUUGUCAACUCUACUGUUUAUCCAUACCUCUGAGACAUAAAAGAUCAACAGUUUUUAUAAACUCCUCUCUGUGCUUGACUGCUUCAAUUAUCCUCAAAACUCCCUAUAACUGAUGGUUUCUUCUCAGUAAAGUUGGCUUAUCAGCAUUCUGAGUUCUGAAUUUUUAGAUCAGAAUUCCACAGUAGAAAAGUAACAGAAAUGAGAGGUUGUGGGUUCAGGGCAGAUAAAGUUCUUUCUUCUGCUGGUAUUAAGGCUUGGUUUCCCUUAAAACCUGUAUUCUCCUUGUAAUUCCUUUAUAUUUCUAAUUCUACCAUCCACUGAGUAUCCAGACACAGCCGUGUGGAGAACAAGUGGUACCCGUAGUAUAUUUACAGCCACAAUAAAAGUAUGGAUUUUCUUCUUUGACUUUUAUUUACUUUUUACUUUGUAUCAGUACAUGUUUACAGUACAUAAUGAUUACAUUCAUUGUGAGGAGUUGGUACAUGUACGUAACACAUCUUAAUUGUUUUUCAUCCUCUUCUCCUUCCCUGACUCCUCCCUUCCUCCCUCCCUCUCUUGGUUUCCCUUCCCUUUUGCAAAAAGAUCUAUCUCCUUGUUUCCUAUUAUCUAUUUGUUUGUGUGGCUCUUUAAUUUACUUACACUUUGGAUUUCUCAUAUAAGAGAAAUUGUGCUAUUUCAGCUUGUGUGUCUGAUUUAUUUCAAUUAACAUUAUGGUCUUAGGAUGCAUCCAUUUUCCCACAAAUUACUCAUAUUUAUCCUUCUUUAUGGCACAAUAGUACUCCAUCAUGUGUAAAUACCACAUUUUCUUUUUCCAUUCAUCUGUUGAUGGACAUUUUUCAAGGUACAACUUUUGGUUUUGUUACUCUCCACCCAGCCUAGGGACAAUAUCUUCAAUUUAGAUAAUGUAUCAUGGGUGGAAGAUACUGGUGAUAGCUAAUGAUAGCUAACAUCCUUCCUUCUUUGGGUAGAGAGUAUCCUAGGUGUCUUGCAACUGUUACCUAUUCAGUUCUUCUAACAACACGUGAGGUAGAUCUUCUUGGUAUUUUCUUUACUUUAUAGCUUUGGAAACUAAAACACAAGGAAGCUAGGUAGAUUUUUCAAGGUCCCAAGUCAUCACUGGGGCCAGAAUUCCACCCCAAAAAGGAACAAGAUCUUAAGCCUACAUUCAACAGCUUUCAUGACAAAAGCUGAACAUCUCUAAGCAUAUUUAAAUGAGAAGCAUAGAUAAGCAUGAUUUUGCACUCAAUUAUUGUUUUUUCUAUCAAAAAUAGAACUAUUAAGUUUAUUUAAACAGCAAAGCAUAACACAGCCAUUUCCAUGGCAUUAUAUUUUUAAAGAUUUAGAGCAAAAUCUAAAAAUAUUAAGCUCCUAGAUACAAGUAAGCACCAUUUUUUAUCAAUUCUACAAACAAGAGAUCUUAACCCUUUCAUUCUGUUCUUCAUGCUGGGCAUUUUAUUCACUUCUUUAUUUAAUAAAAUUUUCUAUGCUUUUGCUCUUGGGAUUUUCUUUUACCUCAUGAAAAUUUAUUGUAUUACAUUUCUAAAUAUAUCAGAAGUCUUGCCACCUUUAUUGUCACUUUUUUGUGUGGUACUAGGGAUGAAACACAUGGCCUCAUGCAUAGUAGGCAAGCACUGAGCUAUAGCCCUAGCUCUUUAUUGUCACUUUCUUAUCAAUAUCUUCUUAAAUACAGAAUUCUCUGUCAAAUUUUCCUUUCACAAGAAAAAAAUAAUCACAGCACAUUAUUCUCUUAUGUAUUCUCAUUAUUUUCCUUUCUUUCAGAAUAAUUUCCUGGCCAGUUCUGUUUGACGCCAUAUGGCUCUAUGUUAUUUGAUUUAUAAAGCUCACAUGUUACCUGUUUGUUAUUUUCUGUGGUGCUGGCUAGAGAGUUCACUGUAUGGAGGUGAGGGCAAUACUUGCCUUUCCUCUUUAUCUUCUAGGGGAAGUACUGUUUCACCAUUCAUUACUAUGUUAGUCGUAGGUAUAUUUUUAAUUGGUGUAUUUUAAUAGGUGUAUUUUUUAAUGCUCUUUAUUUCUUCUAUUCCUAGUUUGCUGAGAGUAUAUGUCCAGAAUGGGCAUUGAACUUUGUCAAGUGGUUUUUCUGUAUCAACUGAUAUCAUCAUGUGGUUUUCCUUUUUUGAGGUCUGGCACUGUGCAAUUUCUGGCUCUUCCCAACGUCAAAAUGACUAUGAAAGGUAAACAUUUUGUAUGGAUUGAGGACAUCAAGGCAACUAUGCAACUAAAGACACUCUCGAGAGUCUUCCACAACAUCUUUAGAAGGUAGAAAGAACUGUGGAAUAAGUGCAUUUUUGACUGUAGGGCAAGUAUUUUGAGGGAGAUUAUUGAAAACGUGGCUUUUACUGUAAUAAACUUUUAAAAAUUUAAAUAUUCAUUGUUUCUUUCUAUAGCAACUCAUAUUUUCAUUUAGGUCUGUUAUUUUGUUUUCAAAAGCCCCAUUUUUAGUUUUUCUAUUCCUUUCCUUUUAGUUUCCUUAUUCUCUUUUGUGUCUUUUUUUAAACAUUACUUAACAUUUCAUUUUAACUUAUCUAUUAUGUUUUUCAAUUUAUCUCACCUCUCUCUUAUUAUCACAUACUGUUUGCUGUAUCUAAUUUUAUAAUGGAAUGCAAAAACUUUACUGCCAUAUAGGUCCCUUUAUGUUGUAACUCUCUUAUAUAUUACAUCUAUAUACCGUGACUAUUCCAUCACUUAACAUUUUUUAUUUUAGCCAUAAAAGUAUUUUAACAGCUCAAGAGCAGAAUAAUCUAUUAUAUUUAAUUAGAUAUUUUCUUUCUGUUACUCUUCCUUUAUUUUUGGUGUUCCAAGAUUUAUUUAUAGUUUCCCUUUCCUUCAGAUGGAAUGGCUGCAUUUGGAGCAGCCAUCAACAUUCUUAAUUUUUCUUUGUGUGGAAAUGCCCUUGUUUCAGGUUUAUGCUGGAUCUAGACUUCUCAGAUGAUGUCUUUUCUUUCAGCACAUUGAAAGUGUCCACUGCCUUCUGGGUUCCACAGUUUCUGAUGAUGAAUAUAUAUUCAUAUUCAUUUGAAUCAUUGUUCCAUUCAAAAUUAUAUAUCAUUUUCCCCUGGCUGUUUUUAAGAUUUUCCUUUUGUUUUCAAUUUCCAAAAAUUUGACUGUGAUACUUCUGAGUAUGUAUUUCCUUAAUUAAUCCUGUUUGAGGAACUUUUUUCAUUUCUAGAUUUAUGUCUUUUUCAAAAUUUGGAAAGGUUUUGGCCAUGGAUUCUUCCAUAUUUUUUUGUCCAUUAUUCUUUUUCUCCUUUUCUCCUCAGAUUCCAACCACAUAAACAUUAGUCUUUUUGUUAUAUUCCCCAGGUCCUUAGGGGCUGUUGUCCUUUUCAAUCUUUUUCUCUCUUGCUUAGAUUGGAUAGUUUCUAUGAUCUAUCUAUAUAUUUUCUGUUGCUUUCUAUGUAAAAAUGUCUAUACAUUUUAUGCAAUUCUGAUAAUCAUAAGUGAUAAACUGAUUGUAAAAUUUGUACAAAAAGGUAAAAUAAAAGCAAAUGUACCAGAAUAACCAAACAAUAUUGGAAAGAGUGAAGACAAAAACUAAAGUUGGAGAAAUCACAUUAUCUAAUUUCAAAAUUUUUAUCAUAAAUCUAUAGUAAUAAGGCUGUGGUAUUGGAGAAAAGAUAGACACAAUAAUCAAUGCCAAAAAAUAAAAAAAUCCAGAAAUAAAGCUACACAAAUACAGGCCAUUGAUUUCCUACAAAACUGUGAAUGUAGUUCAAUGGAGAAAGGACACUCUUAAGUGCAAAUGGUUGUGAAACAAUUUUGCAUCCAUGAAUAAGAAAAUAAGCCUUUACCUAAAACCCACACUUUGUGCACAAAUGGACUAUGUGUCAUAAAUCUAAAUGUAAAAUUAUAAAACUUUGAAGGAAACAUAUAAAAGUUUUCAUUACCUUUAAUUAGUUGAAGAAUUUUUAUAUACAACACAAAAUUAUUAUCCAUAAAAGAAAGAAAUCAUAUAAUGCAAGUCAUCAAAAUGUAAAAUUUUUGUUCUGAGAAAGACAUCAAGAGAUUUAAAAAAUAGCAGCUCUAAACUUGAAGAAAAUAUUUUAAAUUACAUAUGUGACAAAGAAUUUCUAUUCCAACUGCAUUAAUAACUCUUAAAGCUCAGUAAUAGGGUUAGGGUGUACCUCAGUAGUAGAGCACAUGCUUGGUAUGAGUGAAGCCCCUGGGUCCAAUCACCAGUAACAAAAUAAAACAAAACAAUCCCCAUUAGUAAAUAAAUGCAAAAAACAACCAAAAAAACCCCAUACAAGCCAAAUACAAAAAUAGGGAAAAUAUUUGAAUACACAUUUCAAUAAAUGGAAGACACAGAAGAAAGAAAUAAGCAAUAUGAAAAAGUAUUCAGCAUUAUUACCAUUGGAGAAAGUCCAAGUUGAAAACAAAUUACUUGGACUCAGCUAGUAUGCCUUAUUAGAAUUUUACUUAUGGAGAAUUGUAAUUAUCGAAAAGUAUUGAAAUACUGAACAUGGACAUUCAGAAGACUUGUUAAUCAAGACAGAGAAGACAGACUCAAAGAUGAUAACUUCAAGGUGUAGAGGUGGAGGGUGUUCUCAGCUUCUUUUACUCCAGAGAAUAAACUCAGAGGGUCAGAGGGGGACUCAAGACAAAAACCAUAAACACCUAAACUCAGCUAUGCAAGAGGUCUCAGUAUCAGAGUACUCUUCCAACGAGCACAGAUUUUAUUGUAAAACUUUGUCACCUUCUGAAGCCAGGUUUGCUGGAGUGUGUGUUAGGGCCUCUGCAGAUAAGUAAAUUGAGCUACAGUAGUAGGAGCCAAUAAACACAGCCAUCUGCAGGAGGGGACCGAUGGAGGAAUGAAAACCUCAGUCAGUUCUGACAUAUCUACUGAUGGCAGAAUAUUGAGGCAAAAGAAUCUUUAAAAAGGAAAAGUAGAUGGGAGAGAGAGUUCAUGGUCUGUAUGUAAAGACAUUUUUGGAUAGUCUCCAUUUUCUUUCCUAUCUGCAUUGGGAAAGUCAAAAUUUUUGUACCUGCGCUGGGGAUGUAGCUCAGUGUUAGAAUGCUUGCCUAGCAUGGGCAAAGCCCUGGGUUUGAUCCCCAGAACCAUGAAAAAAAUGUUUUGUACCUAGAUAAACCUACUGGUGUAGGAAUAUGUUCAGUCAUUAAACUCUUGAACAAAUCUAAGAGUUACCUAUCACGGAUUGCUGUGGUUUUAUACAGUGCUUUGUUUUAUGUGUUGUCUUUCCAAAGUGCAGUAGUUAGGGUGAAUUCUCAGAAGUCAGAUGGCCUGGAAUGAAAUACCAACUUUAUCAUCUCCUAGUUAUGUGAUCUUGGGAAAGUUACUUGACCUCUCUUCAGUUUCCUUAGCUAUAAAAAUGGCAAUAAUAAUCCUUAGCUCAUGGUUUAAUAAUUAUAAAGCACUCAGAACAACUCUGAGUAUGUACUGAGGCCUCAAUAAAUUACAUCCUCCUCCUGCACCUCUUCCUCUUUGUCAUCAUAUCACCACAACUCACUUGUGCUUACGUGCGUAUUUCCAAUAGAGUUUUCCUCUGAGCUCUUAGUUGUGAUUCAUUAACAACCACAUAGGAGCAGGUUAGCUGACUAGGAAGCAGAAACUAUCUACAGAAAUAAUUCCUCUGGCUUAUUAUUUUCAAGGAGAGAAAAAAAGUACUUCACUUUUUAAAUUUUAGUACAUAUUGAAAAUGUUCCUACCAGGAAAUAUACAGUUCUUCCCUCCUCAUUUUGUCUUCUUAAAGUCUGAAUGAAAUUGAUUCCAUAUGUUUAUUAAAUCUUAAAGGGAAAUUGUAUGGUGUAAGUACUUCCUGAAAUUGAGUGUUUCCUUUGAUAAUUCUAUAUUUACUACAAGACCUCUGAAGAGUGAUUUUCUGGUUUGAUAAGAGAACUCAGCCUGUAUACACAGGCUACGGAAGUACAUUUCUGAGUGUGCCUCACAUGAGGUCCUCUGUUUCUUUUUCAAUGCAAUUAAAUUGUUUACCACAUAUAUAAAGUGAUAAGCAAAUAAAAUCAACAAUGGUACUUACUCCUUUAUUUUACAUUGUCCUCUUCUUUGAGGUCUUUGUGUGUAAGAAAAUCCACCUAGGUUUUGGGAUCACGGAGCUGUCAGUAUAGCUUGUAUUACUUUGUGCAAAUAACCUAACUUAAGUGGACUUCAGUUUUAUUACCUUGAAAUACUUCACAUCAGAAGACGCAAUAGGCUGAAUAAAGGCCUCUAAAAGAUAUUGAUGUCUUCAACCCUAGAACCUGUGAAUGUUAUCUUAUAUAGCAAGAAGGAGCUUUGCAGUUGUCAUGAAAUAUGAAUUUUGAGGUGGAUAGACUAUCCUGGAUUAUCUGGUUGGACUAACUGCCAUAGCAUAUAUCCUUACAAGAGGAAGACAAAAGGAGACUACAGCACAGAAGAGGAAUGCCAGAUUGGAGUGAUGUGGCCACAAGUCAAAGAAUGCUGGCAGCCACUGGCUGCCCAAAUAGAGCUCCCUGAAAUUUCUGGAGGGAGUAUAACACUGGUGAUAUCUCCAUUUCAGUUCAGUGAUGCAGACACAGAGAAAUAUAUAUAUGCAUAUCUUACAAUACAGACAGUCUCAGACUUACAGUGCUCCCAGGAAGUAGACAAGAGCAGCAGAGAAGAAGUGAAGAUAGUGGCUACUACAGUUAGGAGUAAACAGGAAAUGUGGAGGCCAAGAGCUAGAGGCUGUGCCAUAGUGUAAAUUGGGCUCUCACCUGGCAAUCUGUAACGGUUUCCUUGCAGCUCUCUCCACCCUCCUAACACCAUCCCUCUCAUGGCCCUCAGAGGCAUCUCCCUGGUGUGUCAAUCAGAUCGCACAGCAAAGCAUUUUUGUCUGUCCUCUUCCCUUUUGGGCAGUGACCCUAGGUCAUUGCUGUAUGCUGAGCCAAAGCUCAUGUUUAUCUCUCAAGGUGCCGAUAUCUCUCUUUUUAUUUUCAGGAUAGGUUCUGUAUGUUUUGACCUUGUACAUGUAAUAGUAUGUUGGGCAGAGAUUUUUCCAUCUUCUAGGAGAUUUUGUCCCUCAUUCAGGCAUCACACUGAAGGCAGGCUCUUUCUUCCCUUGCUAGGCCUGUGAGCAUAGCCUCUACCUCACAAUCUACUUUCAGAGAUUCUGUGCUUUAUUCAGGGUCCCUGCUCCUCUGUCUCCUGCCUUCACAGUAGGGAAAGGUGUGUCUUUUCCCACUGGGCUGUUAGAAUUCCUGGCCUGGGUCCCCUGAAGUCUGCAUUUAGAUAUGAGAUUUCUGGUUUCUCUCAGCACUUGGAUAUUAAUUUUUUCGACAUCCAGAAAAUUCCUUUUUUUCUUAUGAGUUCUUCCAUGUAUCAAAAUAUUUUUAUAUUUUAUGCAUUGUUUCUAUUGUGCCUCUUCAAAGAAGAGCAUUUAUCCAUGUUUGGCUGUCUAAGACACCCCAAGUUCUAUUGCCUCAGUGUUUUCAGUAUUGCAUUUAUGACACUGCACUCCCCAGAUUUGUUUUUGGAUCUGUCUCCCUGCAUGAGUACCUCUGGGCUGAUACCCUGGCUUAUCUUGCUUAUCUUAUCUUGCAGCACAUCCAUUAAGGUGCUCAGUAAAUCAUGAAAUGAGUAAGAGAGGGAUCACAUGUUAGACUCAUAGAAGUAAAAUGUCUUCCUUUUGAAUUUUUCUUUUCUUUCUUUCUUUUUUCAUUUUUUCCUUUUCUUUUUCUUUUUUUUUAAGCUACACCAAUGAAAAGAUGUACUAAGAUCAAAUCAGAUCAGUGAAGCUAGUUUUCAGGUACAUGCAACUAACACCUGACCAUAUAACUUAUCAAGUGUAACAGCUUAAAGAACUGCAAAAUAUCAAACACAAGUGUUCUCAGUACUCCAUUUUAAAUUUGUUUGCAGCUGAAGUCAGCCACACCUCCUUGCACAGAUCUUAAAAUAAUUCUUCACUCAAAAGUCACAGUAUCUCAGCAAUGAACAAAAACAUAAGAGAGCCCCAGGCCUGGAGCAACUGUUUGUUUUUCCAGGAAGAAAUUCAACUCUUUUUUUAAUGAACACAAAGCUUUUGAUAGGUUUGGGGUUUUAUUCAGCUGUUUUCUGAAUCUCUCAAAGCUCAUCUUAUGAAAUGUGAGCAAGACCUGAUCCUUCCCCUGCCUAGCCUGGACACUUCUUUCAGGUUACUGUUCCCCAACUCUGAGCAGAGAACACAGACCCGCUCAGAAAACAGAUAGCUGGUCUGACAGUUCUCACCGACCAGCAAGCUUCAACUCUCUCACUCUCACUGUGUUGUUUUGAAUCCUAGUAGUUGAGGUCUUCUUACUCAGAGCCUUCUCUGUGUUUUGGAAGCUGCACACAGCUCUCAAAGGCCCAGUCCCUGCCUGCUAGGACUUGAACUCUAAGGAGAUACAGGUUUAUAGACCAAAAGAAUUAUCUGUUCUUCAAACUUGGAAAAAAAUGCUCAUAGAAACAGUAGAGCCAGAGCCAUUUUUGGAGGUAAGUAAGCCUUUGACAACACUUUCAAUUUCUUCCCUAGCAACUUUUUCUAUUCGGGUAUUUUUUGUUUUUGUUUUUGUUUCAUCCUGAGUCAGUUUGGGUCAUUUAUAUUUUCCUAGAAAAUCAUCUGUUUCAUUGAUCUUUUCAAAUUUAUUAGCAUAGUGCUAUACAUAGUAUUUUUAUGAUACCCUCUUAUCUACCCUCUUAUCUACAG